UGGGGAAUAUUGGACAAUGGGCGAAAGCCUGAUCCAGCAAUGCCGCGUGUGUGACGAAGGCCUUAGGGUUGUAAAGCACUUUCACCCGCGAGGAUGAUGACGGUAGCGGGAGAAGAAGCCCCGGCUAACUCCGUGCCAGCAGCCGCGGUAAUACGGAGGGGGCGAGCGUUGUUCGGAAUUACUGGGCGUAAAGGGCGUGUAGGCGGCCUUGUCAGUCAGGCGUGAAAUCCCCGGGCUCAACCUGGGACGUGCGCUUGAUACUGCAGGGCUUGAGAGCGAGAGAGGUAAGCGGAAUUCCCAGUGUAGAGGUGAAAUUCGUAGAUAUUGGGAAGAACACCAGUGGCGAAGGCGGCUUACUGGCUCGUUUCUGACGCUGAGGCGCGAAAGCGUGGGGAGCGAACAGG
RNAcentral lists this ribosomal RNA (404 nucleotides) under uncultured Rickettsiales bacterium. RNAcentral's name for it is "bacterial SSU rRNA". It matches the Rfam family "Bacterial small subunit ribosomal RNA", at positions 355 to 776 of the family's 1533-position model. Lineage: Bacteria; Pseudomonadati; Pseudomonadota; Alphaproteobacteria; Rickettsiales. The record is from RNAcentral.